UAGUGGCGAACGGGUGAGUAACACGUGGGCAAUCUGCCCUGCACUCUGGGACAAGCCCUGGAAACGGGGUCUAAUACCGGAUAACACUGUCCCCCUCCUGGGGGACGGUUGAAAGCUCCGGCGGUGCAGGAUGAGCCCGCGGCCUAUCAGCUUGUUGGUGGGGUAAUGGCCUACCAAGGCGACGACGGGUAGCCGGCCUGAGAGGGCGACCGGCCACACUGGGACUGAGACACGGCCCAGACUCCUACGGGAGGCAGCAGUGGGGAAUAUUGCACAAUGGGCGAAAGCCUGAUGCAGCGACGCCGCGUGAGGGAUGACGGCCUUCGGGUUGUAAACCUCUUUCAGCAGGGAAGNAGCGAAAGUGACGGUACCUGCAGAAGAAGCGCCGGCUAACUACGUGCCAGCAGCCGCGGUAAUACGUAGGGCGCAAGCGUUGUCCGGAAUUAUUGGGCGUAAAGAGCUCGUAGGCGGUCUGUCACGUCGGGUGUGAAAGCCCGGGGCUUAACCCCGGGUCUGCAUUCGAUACGGGCAGACUAGAGUGUGGUAGGGGAGAUCGGAAUUCCU
RNAcentral lists this ribosomal RNA (564 nucleotides) under Streptomyces sp. 340H03. RNAcentral's name for it is "bacterial SSU rRNA". It matches the Rfam family "Bacterial small subunit ribosomal RNA", at positions 93 to 671 of the family's 1533-position model. Lineage: Bacteria; Bacillati; Actinomycetota; Actinomycetes; Kitasatosporales; Streptomycetaceae. The record is from RNAcentral.